Long non-coding RNA from Triticum aestivum (bread wheat), 604 nucleotides. RefSeq lists it as uncharacterized. The transcript has 2 exons. NCBI's taxonomy places the organism in Eukaryota, Viridiplantae, Streptophyta, Magnoliopsida, Poales, Poaceae. The record is from RefSeq and is a predicted model, not a curated record.
CCUUCCUAUAUCUACCCGACACCCUCCCUCGCCGGAAAACCCUAGCCGCUUUCCCCUUCCCCCUCGCUCGUAUCUCCUCUAAAUAGUACGUGCUCGAGACGUCGACGGCGCGCCCUCGUCGAUCCCGUGGUCACCUUGCUCCCCGCCGGUUAGCUCAAUGUCCGGGAGCUUUGUCUGCCUCCUCUACGUCGACCACGCACAUAAGAUCAAGGCCGGAGACCCUACCUCGACUGGAUCGAGCUCGUCCUCGCCUUCGGUCACCAACGCCACUCCGACGAACUACACCACCCCCUGCGCUUCUAGUCACUCACCGGGCCUUCGUGCGCCUCCUUGGUGGUGGAUCCUUGGAGCCAGAUGCCACCGCCGACGGAUACUGCUACUUGGAGACCGCCGCCGACGAGGAGUAGUUAGGAGGUCCCAGGCAGGAGGCCUUGCCUCUUCGAUCGUGUUGCUUUUGUGCUAGCCUUCUUAAGGCAAACUUGUUUAACUUAUGUCUGUACCCAGAUAUUGUUGCUUCCGCUGACUCUUGUGUAUCGAGUGUAUCGAGCUAUGUAUUCGAGCCCUCGAGGCCCCUGGCUUGUAAUAUAAAGCUUGUAUUAUUUUA